RNAcentral lists this ribosomal RNA (1008 nucleotides) under uncultured Sulfurospirillum sp. Its description in RNAcentral is "bacterial SSU rRNA". It matches the Rfam family "Bacterial small subunit ribosomal RNA", at positions 382 to 1405 of the family's 1533-position model. The record is from RNAcentral. Lineage: Bacteria; Pseudomonadati; Campylobacterota; Epsilonproteobacteria; Campylobacterales; Sulfurospirillaceae.
UCUGAUGCAGCAACGCCGCGUGGAGGAUGACGCAUUUCGGUGUGUAAACUCCUUUUAUAAGGGAAGAUAAUGACGGUACCUUAUGAAUAAGCACCGGCUAACUCCGUGCCAGCAGCCGCGGUAAUACGGAGGGUGCAAGCGUUACUCGGAAUCACUGGGCGUAAAGGAUGCGUAGGCUGGAAAUCAAGUCGAGAGUGAAAUCCAACGGCUCAACCGUUGAACUGCUCUCGAAACUGGUUACCUAGAAUAUGGGAGAGGUAGAUGGAAUUGGUGGUGUAGGGGUAAAAUCCGUAGAUAUCACCAGGAAUACCGAUUGCGAAGGCGAUCUACUGGAACAUUAUUGACGCUGAGGCAUGAAAGCGUGGGGAGCAAACAGGAUUAGAUACCCUGGUAGUCCACGCCCUAAACGAUGCACACUAGUUGUUGCGAUGCUAGUCAUUGCAGUAAUGCACUUAACAGAUUAAGUGUGCCGCCUGGGGAGUACGGUCGCAAGAUUAAAACUCAAAGGAAUAGACGGGGACCCGCACAAGCGGUGGAGCAUGUGGUUUAAUUCGAAGAUACACGAAGAACCUUACCUGGCCUUGAUAUCCUAAGAAUCCUUUAGAGAUAAGGGAGUGCUAGUUUACUAGAACUUAGAGACAGGUGCUGCACGGCUGUCGUCAGCUCGUGUCGUGAGAUGUUGGGUUAAGUCCCGCAACGAGCGCAACCCUCGUGAUUAGUUGCUAACAGUUCGGCUGAGCACUCUAAUCAGACUGCCUUCGCAAGGAGGAGGAAGGUGAGGACGACGUCGAGUCAUCAUGGCCCUUAUGGCCAGGGCUACACACGUGCUACAAUGGCUAGGACAAAGAGACGCGAUACUGCGAAGUGGAGCAAAUCUUAAAACCUAGUCUCAGUUCGGAUUGGAGUCUGCAACUCGACUCCAUGAAGCUGGAAUCGCUAGUAAUCGUAGAUCAGAUAUGCUACGGUGAAUACGUUCCCGGGUCUUGUACUCACCGCCCGUCACACCCA